GACAGAGGGUGCAAACGUUGUUCGGAAUUACUGGGCGUAAAGCGCGCGUAGGCGGCUUUGUAAGUUAGAGGUGAAAGCCCGGGGCUCAACCCCGGAACUGCCUUUAAGACUGCAUCGCUUGAAUCCGGGAGAGGUGAGUGGAAUUCCGAGUGUGAGAGGUGAAAUUCGUAGAUAUUCGGAAGAACACCAGUGGCGAAGGCGGCUCACUGGACCGGUAUGACGCUGAGGUGCGAAAGCGUGGGGAGCAAACAGG
Molecule: ribosomal RNA, 253 nt
Filed under: uncultured bacterium
Lineage: Bacteria
Description: partial 16S ribosomal RNA
Rfam family: Bacterial small subunit ribosomal RNA
Source: RNAcentral